This 269-nucleotide small RNA is filed under the name Carlito syrichta (Philippine tarsier). Its description in RNAcentral is "Metazoan signal recognition particle RNA (ENSTSYG00000033859.1)". Lineage: Eukaryota; Metazoa; Chordata; Mammalia; Primates; Tarsiidae. The record is from RNAcentral.
GCCAGGUAUGGUGGCUCAUACCUGUAAUCCAGCACUUUGGGAGGCUGAGGCAAGUGGAUUGCUUGAGCCCAGGAGUUCAAGAUCAGUCUAGGCAACAUAGCAAGGCCAAGUCUCUAAAAAAAGCUGGAUAUGUUGGUGUACACCUAUAGUCUCAGCUACUCAGGAAGUUGAGGCAGAAAGAUCACCUGAGCCCAGGAGGUUGAGGCUGUGGUGAGCCAUGAUUGUGCUACUGUACUCCAGCCUGGGCAACAGAGUGAGACCCUGUCUCA